RNAcentral lists this ribosomal RNA (388 nucleotides) under Macaca fascicularis (crab-eating macaque). RNAcentral describes it as "12S ribosomal RNA". It matches the Rfam family "Bacterial small subunit ribosomal RNA", at positions 794 to 1383 of the family's 1533-position model. Lineage: Eukaryota; Metazoa; Chordata; Mammalia; Primates; Cercopithecidae. The record is from RNAcentral.
GCUUGGCCCUAAACCUCAGCAGUUAGAUAACAAAACUACUCGCCAGAAUACUACAAGCAACAGCUUAAAACUCAAAGGACUUGACGGUGCUUUACAUCCCCCUAGAGGAGCCUGUUCCGUAAUCGAUAAACCCCGAUCCACCCCACCCUCUCUUGCUCAGCCUAUAUACCGCCAUCUUCAGCAAACCCUAAUGAAGGCUACAAAGUGAGCGCAAACGCCACUGCCGCGAAUACGUUAGGUCAAGGUGUAGCCCAUGAGACGGUAAAAAAUGGGCUACAUUUUCUAUUUCAGAAAACCCACGAAAACCCUUAUGAAACUUAAGGGUCCAAGGAGGAUUUAGCAGUAAAUUAAGAAUAGAGUGCUUAAUUGAACCAGGCCAUAAAGCGCG